This 497-nucleotide ribosomal RNA is filed under the name uncultured bacterium. Its description in RNAcentral is "partial 16S ribosomal RNA". It matches the Rfam family "Bacterial small subunit ribosomal RNA", at positions 28 to 507 of the family's 1533-position model. The record is from RNAcentral.
GAUGAACGCUGGCGGCGUGCCUAAUACAUGCAAGUCGAGCGAACAGACGAGGAGCUUGCUCCUCUGACGUUAGCGGCGGACGGGUGAGUAACACGUGGAUAACCUACCUAUAAGACUGGGAUAACUUCGGGAAACCGGAGCUAAUACCGGAUAAUAUAUUGAACCGCAUGGUUCAAUAGUGAAAGACGGUUUUGCUGUCUCUUCUAGAUGGAUCCGCGCCGCAUUAGCUAGUUGGUAAGGUAACGGCUUACCAAGGCAACGAUGCGUAGCCGACCUGAGAGGGUGAUCGGCCACCCGGGAGCUGAGACACGGUCCAGACUCCUGAGGGAGGCAGCAGUAGGGAAUCUUCCGCAGUGGGCGAAAGCCUGACGGAGCAACGGCACGUGAGUGAUGAAGGUCUUCGGAUCGUAAAACUCUGUUAUUAGGGAAGAACAAAUGUGUAAGUAACUAUGGCCGUCUUGACGGUACCUAAUCAGAAAGCCACGGCUAACUACGUG